This 562-nucleotide ribosomal RNA is filed under the name uncultured Gammaproteobacteria bacterium. RNAcentral describes it as "bacterial SSU rRNA". It matches the Rfam family "Bacterial small subunit ribosomal RNA", at positions 1 to 551 of the family's 1533-position model. Lineage: Bacteria; Pseudomonadati; Pseudomonadota; Gammaproteobacteria. The record is from RNAcentral.
UUAACUGGAAGCUUUGAUCCUGGCUCAGAUUGAACGCUGGCGGCAGGCCUAACACAUGCAAGUCGAGCGGAAACGAUGGUAGCUUGCUACCAGGCGUCGAGCGGCGGACGGGUGAGUAACGCGUAGGAAUCUACCUAGUAGUGGGGGACAACCAGUGGAAACGCUGGCUAAUACCGCAUACGCCCUACGGGGGAAAGGAGGGGAUCUUCGGACCUUUCGCUAUUAGAUGAGCCUGCGUCGGAUUAGCUAGUUGGUGGGGUAAAGGCUCACCAAGGCGACGAUCCGUAGCUGGUCUGAGAGGAUGAUCAGCCACACUGGGACUGAGACACGGCCAGACUCCUACGGGAGGGAGCAGNGGGGAAUAUUGGACAAUGGGCGCAAGCCUGAUCCAGCCAUGCCGNGUGUGUGAAGAAGGCCUUCGGGUUGUNAAGCACUUUCAGCCGAGGAGGAAAGGUUGUAAGUUAAUACCUUGCAACUGUGACGUUACUCGCAGAAGAAGCACCGGCUAACUUCCGUGCCAGCAGCCGCGGUAAUACCGGAGGGUGCAAGCGUUAAUCGGAAA